UAGGGAAUCUUCCACAAUGGACGCAAGUCUGAUGGAGCAACGCCGCGUGAGUGAAGAAGGUUUUCGGAUCGUAAAGCUCUGUUGUAAGAGAAGAACGUGUGUGAGAGUGGAAAGUUCACACAGUGACGGUAACUUACCAGAAAGGGACGGCUAACUACGUGUCCAG
This 166-nucleotide ribosomal RNA is filed under the name uncultured bacterium. RNAcentral's name for it is "partial 16S rRNA". It matches the Rfam family "Bacterial small subunit ribosomal RNA", at positions 355 to 511 of the family's 1533-position model. The record is from RNAcentral.